UUAAGAUAAUUCUAUUUGAAUCUUUUUUCAAUGUAAGUGAAAUGCAUUAUAACUAUGCUAUAUCUUA
Molecule: transfer RNA, 67 nt
Filed under: Pomacea bridgesi
Lineage: Eukaryota; Metazoa; Mollusca; Gastropoda; Architaenioglossa; Ampullariidae
Description: tRNA-Val
Source: RNAcentral